AUACGGAGGGUGCAAGCGUUAAUCGGAUUUACUGGGCGUAAAGCGUGCGUAGGCGGUUGGGUAAGUCAGAUGUGAAAGCCCCGGGCUUAACCUGGGAAUUGCAUUUGAUACUGUCCAGCUAGGGUCUGGUAGAGGGAAGUGGAAUUCCGGGUGUAGCGGUGAAAUGCGUAGAUAUCCGGAGGAACACCAGUGGCGAAGGCGACUUCCUGGACCAAGACUGACGCUGAGGUACGAAAGCGUGGGGAGCAAACAGGAUUAGAAACCCCUGUAGUCC
Molecule: ribosomal RNA, 274 nt
Filed under: uncultured bacterium
Lineage: Bacteria
Description: partial 16S ribosomal RNA
Rfam family: Bacterial small subunit ribosomal RNA
Source: RNAcentral